AUGUUGGCAUUGAUCACAUAAAAGUAUCAUAGUAGUCUUUUUCUUCUCACCUCAUAUAAAACAAAGAAGAUCAAUUGACACAAUUACCAAUUCAAGAUGUAUAAAGUCAUUAAAAGGAAGAUGACAAGAAGCACAAUUCUUUGAAUGCUCUUGAUACUCUUGUCGAUUCUUACCUUCUAAAAAUAAAAUAUCACUAAAAAAUACAUUCUUUACAUAUAGAAUUAUGUGCCUUACCUUAACAUCAAGUAUUGUAGACACCUCACAUUGCAAAUAUACAUAAUCUUCUUUAGAAAAUCUUUGCAACUAGUAUCAAUAAGCUCGACUACAAAUACAAGUGUAUUGUAAAGUAUCACAAUGUUGAGUAAUAGAUAAGUUUUCCAUAGCCAUAGGUAUGGCUUAUUUAAAAAAAUUUAUCUGAUCAUAUAGACAUUGAAUUC
This 437-nucleotide long non-coding RNA is filed under the name Physcomitrium patens. RNAcentral's name for it is "long non-coding RNA (PPAT_LNC006561)". Lineage: Eukaryota; Viridiplantae; Streptophyta; Bryopsida; Funariales; Funariaceae. The record is from RNAcentral.